CUAAUACUCCCUCCGUCCGAAAUUAUUUGUCACAGAAAUGGAUGUAUCUAGACGUAUUUUAAUUGCAAAUACAUCCAUUUUAUCCACUUUUGAGACAAAUAAUGUGGAAUGGAGGGAGUAUAUG
Molecule: non-coding RNA, 124 nt
Organism: Triticum aestivum (bread wheat)
Lineage: Eukaryota; Viridiplantae; Streptophyta; Magnoliopsida; Poales; Poaceae
Source: Rfam